RNAcentral lists this ribosomal RNA (701 nucleotides) under uncultured bacterium. RNAcentral describes it as "bacterial SSU rRNA". It matches the Rfam family "Bacterial small subunit ribosomal RNA", at positions 589 to 1288 of the family's 1533-position model. The record is from RNAcentral.
CAGAGGUGAAAUCCCCGGGCUCAACCUGGGAACUGCCUUUGUGACUGCGAAGCUAGAGUACGGCAGAGGGGGGUGGAAUUCCACGUGUAGCAGUGAAAUGCGUAGAGACGUGGAGGAACACCGAUGGCGAAGGCAGCCCCCUGGGCCGAUGCUGACGCUCAUGCACGAAAGCGUGGGUAGCAACAGGGAUUAGAUACCCUGGUAGUCCACGCCCUAAACGAUGUCAACUAGGUGUUGGGUGGGUAAAACCAUUUAGUACCGUAGCUAACGCGUGAAGUUGACCGCCUGGGGAGUACGGCCGCAAGGUUAAAACUCAAAGGAAUUGACGGGGACCCGCACAAGCGGUGGAUGAUGUGGAUUAAUUCGAUGCAACGCGAAAAACCUUACCUACCCUUGACAUGUUCAGAAUCCUGGAGAGAUUUGGGAGUGCCCGAAAGGGAGCUGGAACACAGGUGCUGCAUGGCUGUCGUCAGCUCGUGUCGUGAGAUGUUGGGUUAAGUCCCGCAACGAGCGCAACCCUUGUCGUUAAUUGCCAUCAUUUAGUUGGGCACUUUAACGAGACUGCCGGUGACAAACCGGAGGAAGGUGGGGAUGACGUCAAGUCCUCAUGGCCCUUAUGGGUAGGGCUUCACACGUCAUACAAUGGUCGGUACAGAGGGUUGCCAAGCCGCGAGGUGGAGCCAAUCCCAGAAAGCCGAUCG